AUUAUCUUCAACAUCAGCAUCCAGUAACUAAGUUGGGUCUUAUAUAUUUCAAGCGUUGAGGAUGAAUUCCUUAAUAACUCUGAUUUUACUCUCAUAGCUUUUCUCGGUACCAUAGUAGUGUGAUGGCUACAAUUUAUAACAGAACCUGGUUGUUCAAUUCAAUGAGCUUAUGAAAUUUGAUAUGGGAGGCCCGACUGAGGAUUUGGGCGAUGCAAAAUCUUUUUGUCAAAUUAGACCGUCUGGUGUAGAGGUACUACCAACAAGUUUUGUUAGAAUGUUUUAUGAAUGAAGACUUGAAUGAAAAAAGUUCUCAAGAAAAAGAAUUGUGGUGAAUUGUUAUCACUGAUUGUUGUAAAGAAUUGAGAAGGACAUGGGUUUGAAAUUAAAGACCGUCAUGGUGUACAGGGUUAUUGAUCGUUCAAUAAUUCUAAUGUCCCUCGACUAUUUGUUGUAAAUGUUUGCUUAUUCGAAUAUAUCAAAUUUUAGUGUUUUUCAUUUGACCAAUUUUCAGCUAACUUCUACUAAUUUGAUGGACACUUGGUAAAAGUUGUUUUUGUAUUACGUUUAGAUAGCUAUAUUUGUUUAUAUUUUUUUAUUUUACACUUAUUGUAUAUAUCAUUUAAAUGGUCUAAGGGUGUACGGGGUGUGUUAGACAAACCCAUCACCAACCCCCUUCUGCUGAUUGAGAAACCACCGCCACCCCCUUGUGCUGAUCGUAUUGAUGAUGAAGAGGGUGAUUUCGGCAUGCGCCUGCCGCAAGCGACAACGAGAAGGAAAGGGAGAAGUGGUGGGGCCCAUACCAAUCACAUAUUUUUGUUUUUUUUUAAAUGGUUUGCCUAAUCUCAAUUUAGGCAUGCACCCCUUGUGUUUUUUGGGUAAUAGGCAAAAGUUAUAGUCAAAUUACAUGGCACAAUUCAAUUGGGUGAGGGAAAACUUUGCCUAAAGGGAUUAGGCAUUAAGUAUUUAGGUAGGAUAACUUAGUACAUAUAAUAUAUUAAUUUAGAUAUAUGUAAACGGUUGCGUAGCACGUAC
This is a long non-coding RNA of Helianthus annuus (common sunflower), 1032 nucleotides long. RefSeq lists it as uncharacterized. Lineage: Eukaryota; Viridiplantae; Streptophyta; Magnoliopsida; Asterales; Asteraceae. The record is from RefSeq and is a predicted model, not a curated record. The transcript is spliced from 3 exons.